This is a transfer RNA of Phytophthora infestans T30-4, 83 nucleotides long. It matches the Rfam family "tRNA". From Rfam's summary of the family: Transfer RNA (tRNA) molecules are approximately 80 nucleotides in length. Their secondary structure includes four short double-helical elements and three loops (D, anti-codon, and T loops). Further hydrogen bonds mediate the characteristic L-shaped molecular structure. tRNAs have two regions of fundamental functional importance: the anti-codon, which is responsible for specific mRNA codon recognition, and the 3' end, to which the tRNAs corresponding amino acid is attached (by aminoacyl-tRNA synthetases). tRNAs cope with the degeneracy of the genetic code in two manners: having more than one tRNA (with a specific anti-codon) for a particular amino acid; and 'wobble' base-pairing, i.e. permitting non-standard base-pairing at the 3rd anti-codon position. NCBI's taxonomy places the organism in Eukaryota, Oomycota, Peronosporomycetes, Peronosporales, Peronosporaceae. The record is from Rfam.
GUCAGUGUGCCCGAGCGGUCAAAGGGGGGUAGACUCAAGUUCUACUGUGUUCGCACUCGUGGGUUCAAAUCCCACCGCUGACA